GCAUUAAUGGGGUAGUGGUAACCUGGGUCGUUGCCAUUGAAUAACCUGUAGUGAAAUCGUCACUCGACCCGCCGGGGGUUCGAUUCCCUCUUAAUGCA
This is a non-coding RNA of Tephrocybe rancida, 98 nucleotides long. NCBI's taxonomy places the organism in Eukaryota, Fungi, Basidiomycota, Agaricomycetes, Agaricales, Lyophyllaceae. The record is from the annotation of a GenBank genome assembly.